Molecule: ribosomal RNA, 253 nt
Filed under: uncultured bacterium
Lineage: Bacteria
Description: partial 16S ribosomal RNA
Rfam family: Bacterial small subunit ribosomal RNA
Source: RNAcentral
CACGUAGGGCGCAAGCGUUGUCCGGAAUUAUUGGGCGUAAAGAGCUCGUAGGCGGUCUGUUACGUCUGCUGUGAAAACCCUGGGCUUAACCCUGGGCUUGCAGUGGAUACGGGCAGACUAGAGGCAGGUAGGGGAGAAUGGAAUUCCCGGUGUAGCGGUGAAAUGCGCAGAUAUCGGGAGGAACACCGGUGGCGAAGGCGGUUCUCUGGGCCUGACCUGACGCUGAGGUGCGAAAGCGUGGGGAGCAAACAGG